This 508-nucleotide ribosomal RNA is filed under the name uncultured bacterium. RNAcentral's name for it is "partial 16S ribosomal RNA". It matches the Rfam family "Bacterial small subunit ribosomal RNA", at positions 28 to 507 of the family's 1533-position model. The record is from RNAcentral.
GACGAACGCUGGCGGCGUGCCUAAUACAUGCAAGUCGAACGCUUCUUUCCUCCCGAGUGCUUGCACUCAAUUGGAAAGAGGAGUGGCGGACGGGUGAGUAACUCGUGGGUAACCUAGCCUUCAGCGGGGGAUAACACUUGGAAACAGGUGCUAAUACCGCAUAACAGUUUAUGCCGCAUGGCAUAAGAGUGAAAGGCGCUUUCGGGUGUCGCUGGCGGAUGGAUCGGCGGUGCAUGAGCUAGUUGGUGGGGUAAUGGCCCACCAAGGCCACGAUGCAUAGCCGACCUGAGAGGGGGAUCGGCCACACGGGGACGGAGACACGGCCCAGACUACUACGGGAGGCAGCAGUAGGGAAUCUUAGGCAAUGGACGAAAGUCUGACCGAGCAACGGCGCGUGAGUGACGAAGGUGUUCGGAUCGUAAAACUCGGUUGUUAGAGAAGAACAAGGACGUUAGUAACUGAACGUCCAGUGACGGUAUCUAACCAGAAAGCCACGGCUAACUACGUG